Molecule: ribosomal RNA, 439 nt
Filed under: uncultured bacterium
Lineage: Bacteria
Description: bacterial SSU rRNA
Rfam family: Bacterial small subunit ribosomal RNA
Source: RNAcentral
ACUCCUACGGGAGGCAGCAGUAGGGAAUCUUCCACAAUGGGCGCAAGCCUGAUGGAGCAACACCGCGUGAGUGAAGAAGGGUUUCGGCUCGUAAAGCUCUGUUGUUAAAGAAGAACACGUAUGAGAGUAACUGUUCAUACGUUGACGGUAUUUAACCAGAAAGUCACGGCUAACUACGUGCCAGCAGCCGCGGUAAUACGUAGGUGGCAAGCGUUAUCCGGAUUUAUUGGGCGUAAAGAGAGUGCAGGCGGUUUUCUAAGUCUGAUGUGAAAGCCUUCGGCUUAACCGGAGAAGUGCAUCGGAAACUGGAUAACUUGAGUGCAGAAGAGGGUAGUGGAACUACCAUGUGUAGCGGUGGAAGUGCGUAGAUAUAUGGAAGAACACCAGUGGCGAAGGCGGCUACCUGGUCUGCAACUGACGCUGAGACUCGAAAGACAGU